GAUGAACGCUGGCGGCAUGCUUUACACAUGCAAGUCGGACGGGAAGUGGUGUUUCCCGUGGCGGACGGGUGAGUAACGCGUAAGAACCUGCCCUUGGGAGGGGAACAACAGCUGGAAACGGCUGCUAAUACCCCGUAGGCUGAGGAGCGAAAGGAGGAAUCCGCCCAAGGAGGGGCUCGCGUCUGAUUAGCUAGUUGGUGAGAUAAUAGCUUACCAAGGCCGUGAUCAGUAGCUGGUCCGAGAGGAUGAUCAGCCACACUGGGACUGAGACAAGGCCCAGACUCCUACGGGAGGCAGCAGUGGGGAAUUUUCCGCAAUGGGCGAAAGCCUGACGGAGCAAUGCCGCGUGGAGGUAAAAGGCCUACGGGUCAUGAACUUCUUUUCCUGGAGAAGAAACAAUGACGGUAGCUGGGGAAUAAGCAUCGGCUAACUCUGUG
Molecule: ribosomal RNA, 437 nt
Filed under: uncultured bacterium
Lineage: Bacteria
Description: partial 16S ribosomal RNA
Rfam family: Bacterial small subunit ribosomal RNA
Source: RNAcentral